RNAcentral lists this ribosomal RNA (253 nucleotides) under uncultured bacterium. RNAcentral's name for it is "partial 16S ribosomal RNA". It matches the Rfam family "Bacterial small subunit ribosomal RNA", at positions 524 to 776 of the family's 1533-position model. The record is from RNAcentral.
UACGUAGGGGGCUAGCGUUGUCCGGAAUCAUUGGGCGUAAAGGGCGCGUAGGCGGGCCGCCAAGUUCGAGGUGAAAUCCUCCGGCUCAACCGGAGAACUGCCUCGAAUACUGGAGGCCUCGAGGCGGGUAGGGGCGUGCGGAACUGUGGGUGGAGCGGUGAAAUGCGUUGAUAUCCACAGGAACUCCGGUGGCGAAGGCGGCACGCUGGACCCGAUCUGACGCUGAGGCGCGAAAGCCAGGGGAGCAAACGGG